RNAcentral lists this transfer RNA (74 nucleotides) under Chloroflexota bacterium. RNAcentral's name for it is "Chloroflexi bacterium (sediment metagenome) tRNA-Arg". It matches the Rfam family "tRNA". Rfam says of the family: Transfer RNA (tRNA) molecules are approximately 80 nucleotides in length. Their secondary structure includes four short double-helical elements and three loops (D, anti-codon, and T loops). Lineage: Bacteria; Bacillati; Chloroflexota. The record is from RNAcentral.
GCCCCGGUAGCUCAGCGGAUUAGAGCGCUUGACUUCGGAUCAAGAGGUCGCGGGUUCGAAUCCUGCCCGGGGUG